This 1431-nucleotide ribosomal RNA is filed under the name uncultured organism. Its description in RNAcentral is "SSU rRNA". It matches the Rfam family "Bacterial small subunit ribosomal RNA". The record is from RNAcentral.
CGGCGUGGAUAAGACAUGCAAGUCGAACGGGAGAAUUGCUAGCUUGCUAAUAAUUCUCUAGUGGCGCACGGGUGAGUAACACGUGAGUAACCUGCCUCUUAGUGGGGGAUAGCCCUGGGAAACCGGGAUUAAUACCGCAUACGAUUGAAAGAUCAAAGCAGCAAUGCGCUAGGAGAUGGGCUCGCGGCCUAUUAGUUAGUUGGUGAGGUAACGGCUCACCAAGGCGAUGACGGGUAGCCGGUCUGAGAGGAUGUCCGGCCACACUGGAACUGAGACACGGUCCAGACACCUACGGGUGGCAGCAGUCGAGAAUCAUUCACAAUGGGGGCAACCCUGAUGGUGCGACGCCGCGUGGGGGAAUGAAGGUCUUCGGAUUGUAAACCCCUGUCAUGUGGGAGCAAAUUAAAAAGAUAGUACCACAAGAGGAAGAGACGGCUAACUCUGUGCCAGCAGCCGCGGUAAUACAGAGGUCUCAAGCGUUGUUCGGAAUCACUGGGCGUAAAGCGUGCGUAGGCUGUUUCGUAAGUCGUGUGUGAAAGGCAGGGGCUCAACCCCUGGAUUGCACAUGAUACUGCGAGACUAGAGUAAUGGAGGGGGAACCGGAAUUCUCGGUGUAGCAGUGAAAUGCGUAGAUAUCGAGAGGAACACUCGUGGCGAAGGCGGGUUCCUGGACAUUAACUGACGCUGAGGCACGAAGGCCAGGGGAGCGAAAGGGAUUAGAUACCCCUGUAGUCCUGGCAGUAAACGGUGCACGCUUGGUGUGCGGGGAAUCGACCCCCUGCGUGCCGGAGCUAACGCGUUAAGCGUGCCGCCUGGGGAGUACGGUCGCAAGAUUAAAACUCAAAGAAAUUGACGGGGACCCGCACAAGCGGUGGAGUAUGUGGCUUAAUUCGAUGCAACGCGAAGAACCUUACCUGGGCUUGACAUGUAAUGAACAACAUGUGAAAGCAUGCGACUCUUCGGAGGCGUUACACAGGUGCUGCAUGGCCGUCGUCAGCUCGUGUCGUGAGAUGUUUGGUUAAGUCCAGCAACGAGCGCAACCCCUGUUGCCAGUUACCAGCACGUCAAGGUGGGGACUCUGGCGAGACUGCCCAGAUCAACUGGGAGGAAGGUGGGGACGACGUCAGGUCAGUAUGGCCCUUAUGCCCAGGGCUGCACACGUACUACAAUGCCCAGUACAGAGGGGGCCGAAGCCGCGAGGCGGAGGAAAUCCUGAAAACUGGGCCCAGUUCGGACUGUAGGCUGCAACCCGCCUACACGAAGCCGGAAUCGCUAGUAAUGGCGCAUCAGCUACGGCGCCGUGAAUACGUUCCCGGGUCUUGUACACACCGCCCGUCACAUCAUGGAAGCCGGUCGCACCCGAAGUAUCUGAAGCCAACCGCAAGGAGGCAGGGUCCUAAGGUGAGACUGGUAACUGGGAUGAAGUCAUAA